AGCAAUGGAAAUGUGUCUUAGAGGUUUUCAAGUUAUAAGUUUCUUUGUCACCCCCACUAACAUCAGGAACUGGUGCAAAAUGUAGCCAGCUUAUAUUAUGAGGGAAAGAAGGAAAGGAAGAGACUGGAAAUCCGAGGCUGAAGCAGAAAGAAUGGUGAACUGAGCUAAAAUGGGACUCAUUGUGGUUUUUAAACUUCCCAAAUGUUCUGAUUCUCUGCACCACUCUGACAAGGAAUGAAUUACUCUUAAGUAUUCCACAGUCUCCAUCCUCUUUUGGUUGCAGCUCUGUUGUAUAUACAGGCUCAGGCCAAAACCAAUAGCCACAGGUGGAGGUAUUAAAAUAAUGGAAAAUCAAUCCAAUACUGCAUCCUGAGCAUGUAUUCAGGGACAUAGCUUAGAAACCACUGUCCAUAAUAUAGGAGUUUGCCUUGAGUUUCACAUCACUUUUAAAGGGAAUGACAUUAAAUUUCACACAUGGACAUGUUUGUGGCCUAAAAUACCACACUGUUCUAGGCCUGUGGCUUUUAAAAAAAACUGUAAUUUAGGAAU
Molecule: long non-coding RNA, 549 nt
Organism: Bos taurus (domestic cattle)
Lineage: Eukaryota; Metazoa; Chordata; Mammalia; Artiodactyla; Bovidae
Source: Ensembl